This 57-nucleotide transfer RNA is filed under the name Gnathostoma nipponicum. Its description in RNAcentral is "tRNA-Asp". Lineage: Eukaryota; Metazoa; Nematoda; Chromadorea; Rhabditida; Gnathostomatidae. The record is from RNAcentral.
AAAAUCUUAGUAUAAUUAAAUUAUAUUUCAUUGUCAAUGAGGAGAAAGGAGAUUUUA